This 300-nucleotide ribosomal RNA is filed under the name uncultured bacterium. RNAcentral's name for it is "bacterial SSU rRNA". It matches the Rfam family "Bacterial small subunit ribosomal RNA", at positions 337 to 634 of the family's 1533-position model. The record is from RNAcentral.
UCCUACGGGGGGCAGCAGUGAGGAAUAUUGGUCAAUGGGCGGAAGCCUGAACCAGCCAAGUCGCGUGAGGGAAUAAGGCCCUACGGGACGUAAACCUCUUUUGCCGGGGAGCAAGGGCGGGGACGUGUCCCGGCCCGGAGAGUACCCGGAGAAAAAGCAUCGGCUAACUCCGUGCCAGCAGCCGCGGUAAUACGGAGGAUGCGAGCGUUAUCCGGAAUUAUUGGGUUUAAAGGGUGCGUAGGCGGGCUUUUAAGUCAGCGGGAAAAAUUCGGGGCUCAACCCCGGCCGGCCGUUGAAACU